Molecule: ribosomal RNA, 468 nt
Filed under: uncultured bacterium
Lineage: Bacteria
Description: partial 16S ribosomal RNA
Rfam family: Bacterial small subunit ribosomal RNA
Source: RNAcentral
GACGAACGCUGGCGGCGUGCUUAACACAUGCAAGUCGAACGGAAAGGCCCUGCUUUUGUGGGGUGCUCGAGUGGCGAACGGGUGAGUAACACGUGAGUAACCUGCCCUUGACUUUGGGAUAACUUCAGGAAACUGGGGCUAAUACCGGAUAGGAGCUCCUGCUGCAUGGUGGGGGUUGGAAAGUUUCGGCGGUUGGGGAUGGACUCGCGGCUUAUCAGCUUGUUGGUGGGGUAGUGGCUUACCAAGGCUUUGACGGGUAGCCGGCCUGAGAGGGUGACCGGCCACAUUGGGGCUGAGAUACGGCCCAGACUCCUACGGGAGGCAGCAGUGGGGAAUAUUGCACAAUGGGCGGCAGCCUGAUGCAGCAACGCCGCGUGCGGGAUGACGGCCUUCGGGUUGUAAACCGCUUUCGCCUGUGACGAAGCGUGAGUGACGGUAAUGGGUAAAGAAGCACCGGCUAACUACGUG